RNAcentral lists this ribosomal RNA (661 nucleotides) under uncultured fungus. RNAcentral describes it as "eukaryotic LSU rRNA". It matches the Rfam family "Eukaryotic large subunit ribosomal RNA", at positions 23 to 664 of the family's 3401-position model. The record is from RNAcentral. Lineage: Eukaryota; Fungi.
ACCCGCUGAACUUAAGCAUAUCAAUAAGCGGAGGAAAAGAAACUAACAAGGAUUCCCCUAGUAACUGCGAGUGAAGCGGGAAAAGCUCAAAUUUAAAAUCUGGUAGUCUUUGGCUGCCCGAGUUGUAAUCUAGAGAAGUGCUAUCCGCGCUGGACCGUGUACAAGUCUCCUGGAAUGGAGCGUCAUAGAGGGUGAGAAUCCCGUCUUUGACACGGACUGCCAGGGCUUAUGUGAUGCGCUCUCAAAGAGUCGAGUUGUUUGGGAAUGCAGCUCUAAAUGGGUGGUAAAUUCCAUCUAAAGCUAAAUAUUGGCGAGAGACCGAUAGCGAACAAGUACCGUGAGGGAAAGAUGAAAAGAACUUUGGAAAGAGAGUUAAACAGUACGUGAAAUUGUUGAAAGGGAAACGCUUGAAGUCAGUCGCGUCGGCUGGGGAUCAGCCUUGCUUAAUUGCUUGGUGUACUUUCCAGUCGAUGGGUCAGCAUCAAUUUUGACCGGUGGAUAAAGGUCAGGGGAAUGUGGCAUCUCCGGAUGUGUUAUAGCCCUUGGUCGCAUACAUCGGUUGGGAUUGAGGAACUCAGCACGCCGCAAGGCCGGGUUUUUAACCACGUACGUGCUUAGGAUGCUGGCAUAAUGGCUUUAAUCGACCCGUCUUGAAACACGG